Molecule: ribosomal RNA, 497 nt
Filed under: uncultured bacterium
Lineage: Bacteria
Description: partial 16S ribosomal RNA
Rfam family: Bacterial small subunit ribosomal RNA
Source: RNAcentral
GAUGAACGCUGGCGGCGUGCCUAAUACAUGCAAGUCGAGCGAACAGAUAAGGAGCUUGCUCCUUUGACGUUAGCGGCGGACGGGUGAGUAACACGUGGGUAACCUACCUAUAAGACUGGAAUAACUCCGGGAAACCGGGGCUAAUGCCGGAUAACAUUUAGAACCGCAUGGUUCUAAAGUGAAAGAUGGUUUUGCUAUCACUAAUAGAUGAACCCGCGCCGUAUUAGCUAGUUGGUAAGGUAACGGCUUACCAAGGCAACGAUACGUAGCCGACCUGAGAGCGUGAUCGGCCACACUGGAACUGAGACACGGUCCAGACUCCUACGGGAGGCAGCAGUAGGGAAUCUUCCGCAAUGGGCGAAAGCCUGACGGAGCAACGCCGCGUGAGUGAUGAAGGUCUUCGGAUCGUAAAACUCUGUUAUUAGUGAAGAACAAAUGUGUAAGUAACUAUGCACGUCUUGACGGUACCUAAUCAGAAAGCCACGGCUAACUCCGUG